Molecule: long non-coding RNA, 676 nt
Filed under: Homo sapiens (human)
Lineage: Eukaryota; Metazoa; Chordata; Mammalia; Primates; Hominidae
Description: long intergenic non-protein coding RNA 3023
Source: RNAcentral
AGGAAGCCAAAGUAUCUGAUGCACUGGAGAAUGAAAACCCGUUCAAAAUCAGAAGUAUAGAGAAGUUUUCUGUAAAAUGGAAAUGAGUAUCAUGAAGUUUUAAAUGAACAGUGUAAAACAGAAGACAUCAGCAUUCAUUAGGUCCCAGACCUCUUUGAGAAUCUGAUGAAAUUCUGGACAACCUCUCCUCCCACAAACAAGAUGUACUAGAAUACCUACACAUAAAAUGUUGCAUUCAAUUUUGGAAUGUGAAGAGAUCAUUUGAAGCCGAUCCAGAGGCCUCUAAGGACUUGACUGGUGCAGUAUUGGUGGCUGCUGGGUCAGAUGAGCUCCCUGCUAUUCCAAGAAACAAUACAUGUUUGCAGCCACUAAGAUUUGAGGACUUUUGUUAUUACUGCCUAUCCUGACAGACUCAGGUGCUACAACUAUUUAAGGGCUGACCGGAUCUCACUCUGGCACCUAGACUGGAGGGUACUGGCAUGAACUCCUGGGCUCAGAUGUCCUCCCACCUCCACCUUCUGAGUAGCCGGAAUUACAGGAAUGAACCAUCAUGCUCAGAUUUCAAGCUCCCUGAAGAUGAAGGCUGAAUCCUACACCUCGCUUGUAUCCUCCAUGGCUCAUUGAACAAGUGCUAGCUAGCUACAUGGAGACUGCUCAAUAAAUAUUGAAUAACUCA